RNAcentral lists this ribosomal RNA (301 nucleotides) under uncultured bacterium. RNAcentral describes it as "partial 16S ribosomal RNA". It matches the Rfam family "Bacterial small subunit ribosomal RNA", at positions 509 to 809 of the family's 1533-position model. The record is from RNAcentral.
CAGUCGCCGCGGUAAUACAGAGGGUGCGAGCGUUGUUCGGAAUUACUGGGCGUAAAGCGCACGUAGGCGGAUACUUAAGUCAGGGGUGAAAUCCCGGGGCUCAACCCCGGAACUGCCUUUGAUACUGGGUAUCUCGAGUCCGGAAGAGGUGAGUGGAAUUCCGAGUGUAGAGGUGAAAUUCGUAGAUAUUCGGAGGAACACCAGUGGCGAAGGCGGCUCACUGGUCCGGUACUGACGCUGAGGUGCGAAAGCGUGGGGAGCAAACAGGAUUAGAUACCCCCGUAGUCCCUGUCUCUUAUAU